This is a long non-coding RNA of Patella vulgata (common limpet), 1061 nucleotides long. RefSeq lists it as uncharacterized. NCBI's taxonomy places the organism in Eukaryota, Metazoa, Mollusca, Gastropoda, Patellidae. The record is from RefSeq and is a predicted model, not a curated record. The transcript has 4 exons.
GGGAGAUAAUUCUUAAAAACAACAUGGCUACCUUCUGAAUAAUUUUGUUUGUCGUAAGUCAGUCCCCAAAAAUAACAACAUGGCUACCUUCUGAAUAAUUUUGUUUGUCGUAAGUCAAUCCCCAGCCACAACAACUUUCAUUGUGACAGUGCUAAAAUGUCUUUUAUAACUAAACAUAUGUUGAAACUACCUUCAGCGUUUAGAUCAUGUGUCAAUUUCAAUAGUUUUAGUUCUUUAUGCUUGAGACAGUCAUUGUUAAUAGGAUAUUCACCAUGUCAAAAGAAAUUAGAACAAAAUGCAGUAAGUUAUUCUGAUGGAAAGAAUAACAUAUUGUCAUAUCAACCAAAGUCAUUUCAAACAAACAAUAAAAACAGUUGUUCAGUUGGGUGUGCAGAAAUGUUUCACACAAAUUUGAUAAAAAGAUAUUACUCUUCAAGCUCCUAUUCUGAUGAAUUUAACACUCCAUCACCAUAUAAGAAACCUGGUCCUAGAAAUUAUGGUUAUAAAACAAAAACUUUUACAGAAGGACUCCUUCCACGAUCAGAAGAAGAGAAGAAAUUUUUGCAGAAAUAUAAACCUAAAGAUUCUUGGAAUAGGCGGAGAGCUUUAUUUGGCCAAAAUGAUUACAUAGAUAUAUUAGGCGAUGAAGGCAUACAUCCAGUUAAUCUUAUUAAAGGACCACCAUGGUUAGUUGGAUUUAAUGGUAAUGAAUAUCAAAGACUUUCUAGAAGAAUGAAAUUUGAACGUGAGGAACUGAAACAUUUCUCUCCAGACAAGUAUCAUAAUAUUAAGAAAAGAAUGUUUUAUCUAUUUAAGAAAUAUAAUCAAAGAAGAGUGUCAAGAUGGAAAUAAGAGAUUAUUCAGAUACAUAUUUAAUAUUAGCCUUUUAAUAUUAGCCUAUCAGAAUCAGGUGCCAAUGAGUUGACUACAAAUGUUGACUGAUCACUAAUAAACUUUAGUCCUAGUGUUUUUGGAAGUAAAUAUAUUUACUGUAUGCUAAAAUCAUUAUAUUCAUAUUUACUGUGUGCUAAAAUAAAAUAUACAUGUAUUAAACUGUGUAA